ACAGCAGCCAAAACAUGGAGGUGUUUCUUUCCUUAGAGGCAUUGCAAGCACGCAACCUAGUUGCUGUUUCAUACUGGAAUUUCUGAACCUCAUAGAAAUUUCUGUUGAAGUGUUGUAUCAAGUUGCAUAUUCAUCAGAAAUGAGAAAUUCCUUUUGAUUUAUUAUUCCCUUGGAUGAUAUUCAAGGCGUGGGGUUCAAGUCCUCCUCAGUCCCGUGGCGUACAUAUACAAUACCAAAAGCUCAGUGAUGCUGCAUGAGAGCAUGGUGCGUGCUUACGGCGGCGUGGGUGUUCAUCCGCUCGUGACAUAAACUCUUCCAUUUACUCAGGGAUCUUCCCACUGUACCGGAUGCUGCCCACUAACGCAAGAAAGGCCCUGACAAUAAACAAAAACAAGACGCAGUGUGGGUGAAGUGACGAUUCUGCGACUGCCUCGAGAGCUAAACAUUAUUGUGGGUGAACUUCAAAACAAGGCCGAAACUCUGACAUACUCCAGCUGUCGUUGAGGUGGGGGGGAGGUCAAACCCGCUGACUGACAAGACCUGAAAUUCUGGUGCAAUCAGAUGGCUGCCUCGGAGGAAUGUCUGUCCAGACCCCAGGACUGAGGAUAAUUCUGAAAAAGUAGGCAUGACUUAUAGAGCAGCGGCUUGAUCCACAGAACCUGACAAGCUGUUCUCCCGUGGCCUGUAAAUACAGAACACUUGGCAGAUGUGAGGGCCUGUUCCUCUCAGACAUGGCUGCUGCUGCCGCUUCCUCACACCAAUCAAUAAAAUUGACCGGCUUACAGAUGCUCCACAUUCAGCCACGGCCACAACUAACAUCCUUUAGCAUCACUGGAGAUGUGUUUAUCUAGUCGCUUGCGUAGAAGGAAUGAGUAGGUUUUGUUUUUACUAUGCAGACUACAGAGGGACACAGAAGGAGAGGAGGAAGUUGUUGUUUAUGUAGUUCAAAGUAGCACUGUAAUGUUUUACUUACGUAGAACAGAUAAUGAAGAGUUCCUGGAAGAAAACAGAAAAAAACUGUAGGAGUAUUUUUCUUGUUCUGUCUAGUGUAUGUUUAUUUGUGUAACUCAUGUUCUCUGUUACGUUUAAAGUGAAUUUAAAAACCUGGAAAACUGAUGGGUAACUGAACAAAACAUGAGUCAAAGUGUAUUAUAACAUCUUUUGAUACUUUUUCACCUGUGUUUUCCAAACUUUUUACAGCAAUUAUAAGGAGAUAAGACUUUACCAGUCUAUGGUAAAAUCUAAAAUGGCAAAGUGACAAAAGCCUAGUUUUUCACUACAACUUUGAAGCUGUAAUAAUUGCCAGUAGAAACUGACUGUUUUAAAUUAGCAUAACAAUAAAAUAAAGUUUUUACUCAA
Lates calcarifer (barramundi perch) is the source of this 1359-nucleotide long non-coding RNA. RefSeq lists it as uncharacterized. The record is from RefSeq and is a predicted model, not a curated record. The transcript is spliced from 2 exons. NCBI's taxonomy places the organism in Eukaryota, Metazoa, Chordata, Actinopteri, Centropomidae.